This 120-nucleotide ribosomal RNA is filed under the name uncultured bacterium. Its description in RNAcentral is "partial 16S ribosomal RNA". It matches the Rfam family "Bacterial small subunit ribosomal RNA", at positions 796 to 918 of the family's 1533-position model. The record is from RNAcentral.
CACGCCGUAAACGAUGCUCACUGGUUCUGUGCGAUAUAUUGUACGGGAUUAAGCGAAAGUAUUAAGUGAGCCACCUGGGGAGUACGUCGGCAACGAUGAAACUCAAAGGAAUUGACGGGG